This is a long non-coding RNA of Hipposideros armiger (great roundleaf bat), 1348 nucleotides long. RefSeq lists it as uncharacterized. The record is from RefSeq and is a predicted model, not a curated record. NCBI's taxonomy places the organism in Eukaryota, Metazoa, Chordata, Mammalia, Chiroptera, Hipposideridae. The transcript has 3 exons.
ACUGUUAUGAUAGAGGAACUCCCAAGGUCUCACAGAAUCACUAUAAGCUUGUCAUCCAACAGAGGCAUGCAGGAAGCCUUCUUAAAGGAGGUGAGUCAAUCCAAGUAUAAUGGAUCAGCAGGAAUUGGCUAGAAAAAGAAUUGGGAUUAAAACAUGGGGAAUAUUACAUUCAAAGGAACAGUGUUACAGAGUUUUUAAGGACAUAGAGAAACAACAAAUGAUGCUGUUUGGCUAGAGGGAAGGGGGAAUAACACACACAGUGUGGCUGUGGGGUCCUAACCUCAUCCCUUCCACUCAGCCCUGCCCAGAGGAUGCCACCCAUGACUCAGCUUUGCCAGCCAUCAGAUCUCAACCAAAGUCAAUGGGCCAGUAGCAAGCACACAGCCCAAGGUGGACCAACGAUAAUCUUCCUGGAGAAUUUUCUUCCAUAUCUAUGUUUUUAAAAUCAUCGUUCCUCUAGGGUUGAUAAUUGGUAGCAUGUGAGUGGAGGCUGCCAGGGCCAUCUUCCCAUUAGGUGGAGAAAGCUUGUCAGCAACUAAAGCAGAGAUGAAGUAAUCACAGACAGAGAGAAACAAAGAGAAACAGAGACAGGAGGACCACCCAGAGGACACAGCUUGAAGCUCCGGAUCCAGGCAUGCUUGAAAUUUGGAAUUUACAUAGCUUGGACUUUCCAGUUAUAUGAAGCAAUAAUUUCAUUUUGUUGCAUAAAUUCUGGGGUUUUCUGUUUGUUUGUUUUGUUUUUGUCCUAAUACAGUGAGUGAGUCUGAGAUACAUCGGGGUCAUCCAAAUGGGUGUAUCCAAAAUGUGUCUUAGCUCAAGAGACAAGUUAGGAGAAAUCAAUACAUUUGGAACUAUCACCACGAGAACUGAAACCUUAGGAAUGAAUGUCAUUGUCAAUAGGGGCACAUGGGUCCAAGAGCAGCAGGCUGAUGUCCAAGCCCUGGGGAGAAGAGCCAGGGGCACUGUGACAAUGAGAAUGAGAAGGAGCCAUCAGAGGUGGAAGGAAAACAAGGAGAGAGUUGACGCCAGAAGCUGAAGGAGGAAAGCCUAAGGCAGAAGGAUUUCUCAUCAGGGCCAGUGUCACAGGUGGCAGCAGGACAUGGUCGUGUUUUCAGGCUUGUUGGGGCUGAGGAAGAAGACAUGUGUACAUCUUGAGGAGGAGCUGAGUUUCUUGUCUGGAUCAAUGUCAUGGAAGCAGAAGUGUUUGUAAGAACAUGAACUGCCCUCAUCUCUGGGAAUUUGCAACAAAAUUGGUGACAACUUUGGACUUCUGCAAAGUAACAGUAGUUUGAAGAGGCCCAAAUUGACACGUGAAUUCAAAUAAAUGCUAAGCAAUUAAUUAAACUUG